ACUCCUACGGGAGGCAGCAGUGGGGAAUAUUGCACAAUGGGCGCAAGCCUGAUGCAGCCAUGCCGCGUGUGUGAAGAAGGCCUUGGGUUGUAAAGCACUUUCAGUCGUGAGGAAGGUAGUGUAGUUAAUAGCUGCAUUAUUUGUACGUUAGCGACAGAAGAAGCACCGGCUAACUCCGUGCCAGCAGCCGCGGUAAUACGGAGGGUGCGAGCGUUAAUCGGAAUUACUGGGCGUAAAGCGCAUGCAGGUGGUUUGUUAAGUCAGAUGUGAAAGCCCGGGGCUCAACCUCGGAAUAGCAUUUGAAACUGGCAGACUAGAGUACUGUAGAGGGGGUAGAAUUUCAGGUGUAGCGGUGAAAUGCGUAGAGAUCUGAAGGAAUACCGGUGGCGAAGGCGGCCCCUGGACAGAUACUGACACUCAGAUGCGAAAGCGUGGGAGCAAACAGGAUUAGAUACCCCUGGUAGACUGUCA
This 471-nucleotide ribosomal RNA is filed under the name uncultured bacterium. RNAcentral describes it as "bacterial SSU rRNA". It matches the Rfam family "Bacterial small subunit ribosomal RNA", at positions 335 to 802 of the family's 1533-position model. The record is from RNAcentral.